This 72-nucleotide transfer RNA is filed under the name Ovis aries (sheep). It matches the Rfam family "tRNA". From Rfam's summary of the family: Transfer RNA (tRNA) molecules are approximately 80 nucleotides in length. Their secondary structure includes four short double-helical elements and three loops (D, anti-codon, and T loops). The record is from Rfam by way of RNAcentral. Lineage: Eukaryota; Metazoa; Chordata; Mammalia; Artiodactyla; Bovidae.
UCCCUGGUGACUCAGCUGUUAAAGAAUCUGCCUGCAAAGCAGGAAACCCAGGUUUGAUUCCUGGGUUGGGAA